AGGGCCAUGGCCUGAAAGAGAGAAGGCAGGGGUCAAAACCCAGCCGGCUUGAGUUCCUUGUGGGUGCUGAAGCCCAAGUGUAGUCAAGAUCGAUUUUAGGAAUAUAAGUGUCAACAGUAACAGAGCACUGAGCCUGGGGCAGACGCUAUCUGAAAGUCUUUGGGCACAAAACCCUGUUAAUCUGAGAUACACACUCCAAAUUGGGCAUCUUCUAAUCCGUGGAGUCCUAACCCGAUGAAAUAUGGCAACCCUCACAGCGAUGGACUGACUUUUGGGCCCUUCAAGUUCACAGGAUGAAAUCCCAACUCUCCAUGGGAUGCUGUUAGGAGGUGAACAUGGACCUGGGAUAUGAACCCGUCAGUCUGGCCCCUGAACCUACACUCUGAAUCCCUGCACCAAGGGACCUCUCUCUGAGAUUACAGUGGACUCUUGAACGGCAAUGAGUACACGGAUUUUUUACAGUGAGCCAGGCCAGAAGGUUCUGAAUUCCCUGGCGAUUUGGCAAAUGACACAUUUGCAGUUCCCAGAAUGGUUUCUGAUGCCGGGACUAACCAGUGAAAAGGAGAGCUGCAAGCAGCCUGGUCCUCCACGCGGUCUUCCCCAAUUAAGAUCUUGGCAGCGAUUCCUAGGCUGACUAUCUGGGGUGUUGACACCAAAAACAGCAUCACAAACUUCUGGCUCAUCACUCUUAAAGACUUGUCUUUGCGGCUGUUUACAGAAGCUUUGGAGAAGGAGGAGGAGGAUUAGAGAAUUAAAAUUCAUGAAGGGACAAGUCACUUCUCAAGUAACAAGGCUAAAAAUACCACAACCUGAUCAGACAGUUGACAACUGCUGCAUUUUAACAUGUUAUGGAUUGGGGGACAUCGGAGUCAGGGGAGACGAACCACGAGAGACUGUGGACUCUGAGAAACAAAC
Long non-coding RNA from Lutra lutra (Eurasian river otter), 915 nucleotides. RefSeq lists it as uncharacterized. The record is from RefSeq and is a predicted model, not a curated record. The transcript has 5 exons. Lineage: Eukaryota; Metazoa; Chordata; Mammalia; Carnivora; Mustelidae.